GUUAUAUGCAUACGGUUGCUGUCGUCACUGAAUUAAAAUCUGGGCUGGGUUGGAUUGGAUUGGGUUUGGAAACUGCGUUUUAGAGGCCUCCUGGUCAUCCUCAAGCGCACCACUGGGGCUGCUUGCAUCUUCCUAUACGAGAUGUCGAUAGAGAGCUAUGUUUCCUAGUCCAGAACACGAGCCGGAUCUGUGCGUCUUCGUCCUGAGCCUGCCUACGGGAGGUGAGAGUAGUAGAGGGUACUAUAGUACCGUAGUAGCUCUUCCGCCGCAGCUGUGUUGGCCCUCUG
This 287-nucleotide long non-coding RNA is filed under the name Volvox carteri. Its description in RNAcentral is "long non-coding RNA (VCAR_LNC000621)". The record is from RNAcentral. Lineage: Eukaryota; Viridiplantae; Chlorophyta; Chlorophyceae; Chlamydomonadales; Volvocaceae.